AGUGAACGCUGGCGGUAGGCCUAAUACAUGCAAGUCGAACGGCAGCACAGUAAGAUCUUGCUCUUACUGGUGGCGAGUGGCGGACGGGUGAGGCAUACAUCGGAAUCUACUUUUUCGUGGAGGAUAACGUAGGAAAACUUACGCUAAUACCUCAUACUACCUACGGCUUAAAUCAGGAGAUCUUCGGACUUUUCCCGAUUCAAUUAGCCGGUGUCGGAUUAGCUAGUUGGCUGGGUAAAGGCCCACCAAGGCGACGAUCCGUAGCUGGCCUGAGAGGAUGAUCAGCCACACUGGAACUGAGACACGGUCCAGACUCCUACGGGAGGCAGCAGUAGGGAAUCUUCGGCAAUGGGCGCAAGCCUGAUCCAGCAAUACCGCGUGAGUGAAGAAGGUCUUCGGGUUGUAAAGCCCUUUUAUUGGGAAAGAAAAGAAGCAGAAGAAUCUCCGGAUGUUUUGACGGUACCUAAUGAAUAAGCCCCGGCUAACUUCGUG
Molecule: ribosomal RNA, 492 nt
Filed under: uncultured bacterium
Lineage: Bacteria
Description: partial 16S ribosomal RNA
Rfam family: Bacterial small subunit ribosomal RNA
Source: RNAcentral